AACCUCUCGGGGUCGCACCUGGAGAGUCUCCAGUCCUCUACCGGUCUCGACGACGGGAGGAAGAGUCCAGCGGAGGCCGACCCAUUCCAUUCCUAGCUUGGGCAGUGGCUAGCGAGCGGAAGGCAAUCUGCCACAAGU
This 138-nucleotide small nucleolar RNA is filed under the name Ornithorhynchus anatinus (platypus). Lineage: Eukaryota; Metazoa; Chordata; Mammalia; Monotremata; Ornithorhynchidae. The record is from RNAcentral.